Long non-coding RNA from Gorilla gorilla gorilla (western lowland gorilla), 1409 nucleotides. RefSeq lists it as uncharacterized. The record is from RefSeq and is a predicted model, not a curated record. The transcript is spliced from 4 exons. Lineage: Eukaryota; Metazoa; Chordata; Mammalia; Primates; Hominidae.
GACACAUGUGCAUAUACACAUAUUCACAUGUGCACAUUCAAGGCACGUACACAUGUGCACAUACACAUAUCCAUACACAUAUACACACAUACACUCGUGCAAACACAUAUACACACACAUACAUAUGACAGAAAGAACCUGACACAGGGUAUUCCUGUGAGAGGACGAACUUAGCAUUGCAUCAUGCAAUAAGACAGUAAUUGAACAACACCCUGAUUACAUGUGGUACAAAUUCUAAUUUUCUAAUUUGUUGUCCCUUUACUUAUGAUAACUGCUUUGCAUACUCGAGACGAAUCGUUUAAAGCUGAUGUGAGUGAGCAUAUCCAACAACAAUCCUAGCGCCUGCUGUGGAUCAGAUGGAAUGUCCCUCUGUCACCCAGGCUGCAGUGCAAUGUUGCGAUCUUGGCUCACUGCAACCUCUGCCUCCCAGGUUCCAGCGAUUCUUCUGCCUCAGCCUCCCAAGUAGCUGGGACUACAGCACUAUAAGCUGAAACUAGAUGAAGUUUUUUUGAGCAAGUGCCUGAUGUAUGAGCUGCACAGAAAGUUCACCAAACCACCCAAAGCCAUUGCCACAGGCAUCCGAACUGCAAGCCAGCACAAGAAGUCGAUGCUUUCAUACACUUUCCAAGAUGUCAGAACAAGGUUCCAAAUCAUAAUAAGAAGUACAACUCCUAACAGAAUAAUGCUGACCUGGUACUUUGAGAUGAUAGCAAAAGACUACAGAAUAUACAAAAGUGAACUAAUAAUGGAUUCCAGGUAGACUUGUCCUGAGAGCCCUUCCCUUUAAAGAUCCUUUGUUGCUUGAAUGCAGCUCAAACAGCUUUGACACUGACUCUUAGCCACCACUGACUCCCAACACAAGACCAGACCAGCAACCAGGACAAGGGACAUUCAAAGCCUAUCACUGAUUGAUCAUCGGUGCUUCUGGAGAGAGAUCAUGAUCGAAAGGAGGAAAUGUGAAAGUUGCCAGAAUUGAAAGAGAUCACUUGUGUUGAAAAAAUCCCUGACCAGUGGAGCUGGGGAAGGCCAUGAAGGGAGGAUUCUCAGGCAUAAAUGCCUGAUAACAAAACUAUCACCAAAGACUCUGCAAAAACCACAUCCUUGCUCAAAGGCCGUCCCCAAAAUCAUACAAAAAAUACUUCUGUGAGGACAUUGGCCCAGCAGCUUCCUGUCCAAUCCCAGAAAGGUUCUGUCCUUGCUAUUGAUCCUCAUAGCUGAGGAUAAUUAUCUCAACACAUAUAAUCCUCCUCAUUUUUCCUUUAGAAACCUUUGUCUUUCUUUACCUCCCUGAAUAUACACACAGCUUACUAUGGCACUUGUAUUUCCAUUACAAUGCCCUAAUUUCAAGUAAAUGUGGAUUUUUAGAGAUCCUUUGUCUAUUGUUAUUUAGAUUGACAGUAUUACAUACA